CCUACGGGGGGCAGCAGUAAGGAAUAUUGGUCAAUGGACGAAAGUCUGAACCAGCCAUGCCGCGUGGAGGAUGAAGGUCCUCUGGAUUGUAAACUUCUUUUAUAUGGGACGAAAAAAGGGUUUUCUAACUCACUUGACGGUACCAUAUGAAUAAGCACCGGCUAACUCCGUGCCAGCAGCCGCGGUAAUACGGAGGGUGCAAGCGUUAUCCGGAUUCACUGGGUUGAAAGGGAGCUGGGGUGGGUUGGGAGAAAGCCCCGAGCUUAACUCGGGAACUGCCAUUGAUACUAUCAGUCUUGAAUACCGUGGAGGUCAGCGGAAUAUGUCAUGUAGCGGUGAAAUGCUUAGAUAUGACAUAGAACACCAAUUGCGAAGGCAGCUGGCUACCCGAAUAUUGACACUGAGGCGCGAAAGCGUGGGGAUCAAACAGGAUUAGAUACCCUUGUAGUC
RNAcentral lists this ribosomal RNA (450 nucleotides) under uncultured bacterium. RNAcentral describes it as "partial 16S ribosomal RNA". It matches the Rfam family "Bacterial small subunit ribosomal RNA", at positions 338 to 795 of the family's 1533-position model. The record is from RNAcentral.